CAGCAGCCGCGGUAAGACGAACCGUGCGAACGUUAUUCGGAAUCACUGGGCUUAAAGCGCGUGUAGGCGGAUGGGAGCGUCGGCCGCUGAAAGCCCCCGGCUUAACCGGGGAAGUGGCGCCGAUACGACCGCCCUGGAGGGACGUAGGGGGGGCUGGAACUUCCGGUGGAGCGGUGAAAUGCGUUGAGAUCGGAAGGAACGCCCGUGGCGAAAGCGAGCCCCUGGACGUUUUCUGACACUGAGACGCGAAAGCCAGGGGAGCGAACGGGAUUAGAUACCCCGGUAGUCCCUGUCUCUUAUA
RNAcentral lists this ribosomal RNA (301 nucleotides) under uncultured bacterium. RNAcentral's name for it is "partial 16S ribosomal RNA". It matches the Rfam family "Bacterial small subunit ribosomal RNA", at positions 509 to 807 of the family's 1533-position model. The record is from RNAcentral.